CCUACGGGUGGCAGCAGUGAGGAAUAUUGGUCAAUGGGCGGGAGCCUGAACCAGCCAAGCCGCGUGAGGGAAGAAGGUACAGCGUAUCGUAAACCUCUUUUGUCAGGGAACAAAGGCGGGGACUAGUCCCCGGAUGAGGGUACCUGAAGAAAAAGCAUCGGCUAACUCCGUGCCAGCAGCCGCGGUAGUACGGAGGAUGCGAGCGUUAUCCGGAUUUAUGGGGUUAAAGGGGUGCGCAGGCGGCCUGUUAAGUCAGCGGUAAAAGCCCGGGGUCAAACCCCGGCGAGCCGUUGAAACUGGCGGGCUGGAGUAGGAGAGAGGUACGCGGAAUGCGCGGUGUAGCGGUGAAAUGCUUAGAUAUCGCGCAGAACCCCGAUUGCGAAGGCAGCGUACCGGCUCCACACUGACGCUGAGGCACGAAAGCGUGGGUAGCGAACAGGAUUAGAUACCCUUGUAGUC
Molecule: ribosomal RNA, 459 nt
Filed under: uncultured bacterium
Lineage: Bacteria
Description: partial 16S ribosomal RNA
Rfam family: Bacterial small subunit ribosomal RNA
Source: RNAcentral